This 420-nucleotide ribosomal RNA is filed under the name Enterobacter sp. E021. RNAcentral describes it as "bacterial SSU rRNA". It matches the Rfam family "Bacterial small subunit ribosomal RNA", at positions 17 to 433 of the family's 1533-position model. The record is from RNAcentral. Lineage: Bacteria; Pseudomonadati; Pseudomonadota; Gammaproteobacteria; Enterobacterales; Enterobacteriaceae.
GUCUGGCUCAGAUUGAACGCUGGCGGCAGGCCUAACACAUGCAAGUCGAACGGUAACAGGAAGAAGCUUGCUUCUUUGCUGACGAGUGGCGGACGGGUGAGUAAUGUCUGGGAAACUGCCCGAUGGAGGGGGAUAACUACUGGAAACGGUAGCUAAUACCGCAUAACGUCGCAAGACCAAAGAGGGGGACCUUCGGGCCUCUUGCCAUCGGAUGUGCCCAGAUGGGAUUAGCUUGUUGGUGAGGUAACGGCUCACCAAGGCGACGAUCCCUAGCUGGUCUGAGAGGAUGACCAGCCACACUGGAACUGAGACACGGUCCAGACUCCUACGGGAGGCAGCAGUGGGGAAUAUUGCACAAUGGGCGCAAGCCUGAUGCAGCCAUGCCGCGUGUAUGAAGAAGGCCUUCGGGUUGUAAAGUAC